This 2926-nucleotide ribosomal RNA is filed under the name Escherichia coli. RNAcentral's name for it is "bacterial LSU rRNA". It matches the Rfam family "Bacterial large subunit ribosomal RNA". The record is from RNAcentral. Lineage: Bacteria; Pseudomonadati; Pseudomonadota; Gammaproteobacteria; Enterobacterales; Enterobacteriaceae.
GGGUUGUGAGGUUAAGCGACUAAGCGUACACGGUGGAUGCCCUGGCAGUCAGAGGCGAUGAAGGACGUGCUAAUCUGCGAUAAGCGUCGGUAAGGUGAUAUGAACCGUUAUAACCGGCGAUUUCCGAAUGGGGAAACCCAGUGUGAUUCGUCACACUAUCAUUAACUGAAUUCAUAGGUUAAUGAGGCGAACCGGGGGAACUGAAACAUCUAAGUACCCCGAGGAAAAGAAAUCAACCGAGAUUCCCCCAGUAGCGGCGAGCGAACGGGGAGGAGCCCAGAGCCUGAAUCAGUGUGUGUGUUAGUGGAAGCGUCUGGAAAGGCGCGCGAUACAGGGUGACAGCCCCGUACACAAAAAUGCACAUGCUGUGAGCUCGAUGAGUAGGGCGGGACACGUGGUAUCCUGUCUGAAUAUGGGGGGACCAUCCUCCAAGGCUAAAUACUCCUGACUGACCGAUAGUGAACCAGUACCGUGAGGGAAAGGCGAAAAGAACCCCGGCGAGGGGAGUGAAAAAGAACCUGAAACCGUGUACGUACAAGCAGUGGGAGCCUCUUUAUGGGGUGACUGCGUACCUUUUGUAUAAUGGGUCAGCGACUUAUAUUCUGUAGCAAGGUUAACCGAAUAGGGGAGCCGAAGGGAAACCGAGUCUUAACUGGGCGUUAAGUUGCAGGGUAUAGACCCGAAACCCGGUGAUCUAGCCAUGGGCAGGUUGAAGGUUGGGUAACACUAACUGGAGGACCGAACCGACUAAUGUUGAAAAAUUAGCGGAUGACUUGUGGCUGGGGGUGAAAGGCCAAUCAAACCGGGAGAUAGCUGGUUCUCCCCGAAAGCUAUUUAGGUAGCGCCUCGUGAAUUCAUCUCCGGGGGUAGAGCACUGUUUCGGCAAGGGGGUCAUCCCGACUUACCAACCCGAUGCAAACUGCGAAUACCGGAGAAUGUUAUCACGGGAGACACACGGCGGGUGCUAACGUCCGUCGUGAAGAGGGAAACAACCCAGACCGCCAGCUAAGGUCCCAAAGUCAUGGUUAAGUGGGAAACGAUGUGGGAAGGCCCAGACAGCCAGGAUGUUGGCUUAGAAGCAGCCAUCAUUUAAAGAAAGCGUAAUAGCUCACUGGUCGAGUCGGCCUGCGCGGAAGAUGUAACGGGGCUAAACCAUGCACCGAAGCUGCGGCAGCGACGCUUAUGCGUUGUUGGGUAGGGGAGCGUUCUGUAAGCCUGCGAAGGUGUACUGUGAGGUAUGCUGGAGGUAUCAGAAGUGCGAAUGCUGACAUAAGUAACGAUAAAGCGGGUGAAAAGCCCGCUCGCCGGAAGACCAAGGGUUCCUGUCCAACGUUAAUCGGGGCAGGGUGAGUCGACCCCUAAGGCGAGGCCGAAAGGCGUAGUCGAUGGGAAACAGGUUAAUAUUCCUGUACUUGGUGUUACUGCGAAGGGGGGACGGAGAAGGCUAUGUUGGCCGGGCGACGGUUGUCCCGGUUUAAGCGUGUAGGCUGGUUUUCCAGGCAAAUCCGGAAAAUCAAGGCUGAGGCGUGAUGACGAGGCACUACGGUGCUGAAGCAACAAAUGCCCUGCUUCCAGGAAAAGCCUCUAAGCAUCAGGUAACAUCAAAUCGUACCCCAAACCGACACAGGUGGUCAGGUAGAGAAUACCAAGGCGCUUGAGAGAACUCGGGUGAAGGAACUAGGCAAAAUGGUGCCGUAACUUCGGGAGAAGGCACGCUGAUACGUAGGUGAAGUCCCUUGCGGAUGGAGCUGAAAUCAGUCGAAGAUACCAGCUGGCUGCAACUGUUUAUUAAAAACACAGCACUGUGCAAACACGAAAGUGGACGUAUACGGUGUGACGCCUGCCCGGUGCCGGAAGGUUAAUUGAUGGGGUUAGCGGUAACGCGAAGCUCUUGAUCGAAGCCCCGGUAAACGGCGGCCGUAACUAUAACGGUCCUAAGGUAGCGAAAUUCCUUGUCGGGUAAGUUCCGACCUGCACGAAUGGCGUAAUGAUGGCCAGGCUGUCUCCACCCGAGACUCAGUGAAAUUGAACUCGCUGUGAAGAUGCAGUGUACCCGCGGCAAGACGGAAAGACCCCGUGAACCUUUACUAUAGCUUGACACUGAACAUUGAGCCUUGAUGUGUAGGAUAGGUGGGAGGCUUUGAAGUGUGGACGCCAGUCUGCAUGGAGCCGACCUUGAAAUACCACCCUUUAAUGUUUGAUGUUCUAACGUUGGCCCCUAAUCGGGGUUGCGGACAGUGUCUGGUGGGUAGUUUGACUGGGGCGGUCUCCUCCUAAAGAGUAACGGAGGAGCACGAAGGUUGGCUAAUCCUGGUCGGACAUCAGGAGGUUAGUGCAAUGGCAUAAGCCAGCUUGACUGCGAGCGUGACGGCGCGAGCAGGUGCGAAAGCAGGUCAUAGUGAUCCGGUGGUUCUGAAUGGAAGGGCCAUCGCUCAACGGAUAAAAGGUACUCCGGGGAUAACAGGCUGAUACCGCCCAAGAGUUCAUAUCGACGGCGGUGUUUGGCACCUCGAUGUCGGCUCAUCACAUCCUGGGGCUGAAGUAGGUCCCAAGGGUAUGGCUGUUCGCCAUUUAAAGUGGUACGCGAGCUGGGUUUAGAACGUCGUGAGACAGUUCGGUCCCUAUCUGCCGUGGGCGCUGGAGAACUGAGGGGGGCUGCUCCUAGUACGAGAGGACCGGAGUGGACGCAUCACUGGUGUUCGGGUUGUCAUGCCAAUGGCACUGCCCGGUAGCUAAAUGCGGAAGAGAUAAGUGCUGAAAGCAUCUAAGCACGAAACUUGCCCCGAGAUGAGUUCUCCCUGACUCCUUGAGAGUCCUGAAGGAACGUUGAAGACGACGACGUUGAUAGGCCGGGUGUGUAAGCGCAGCGAUGCGUUGAGCUAACCGGUACUAAUGAACCGUGAGGCUUAACCUUACAACGCCGAAG